UCUAGAGCAAAUCUAUCUUAAAAAUUAUUGCAUAAAUGUUUCCUCAAUAAUAUUGAAUGAAAGAGGAAGACUCAAGAUGAAGCAUUUUCCUGAAGAAGAACGGUAAUAUAGAC
Otolemur garnettii (small-eared galago) is the source of this 113-nucleotide non-coding RNA. Lineage: Eukaryota; Metazoa; Chordata; Mammalia; Primates; Galagidae. The record is from Rfam.